RNAcentral lists this ribosomal RNA (497 nucleotides) under uncultured bacterium. RNAcentral describes it as "partial 16S ribosomal RNA". It matches the Rfam family "Bacterial small subunit ribosomal RNA", at positions 28 to 507 of the family's 1533-position model. The record is from RNAcentral.
GAUGAACGCUGGCGGCGUGCCUAAUACAUGCAAGUCGAGCGAACGGACGAGAAGCUUGCUUCUCUGAUGUUAGCGGCGGACGGGUGAGUAACACGUGGAUAACCUACCUAAAAGACUGGGAUAACUUCGGGAAACCGGAGCUAAUACCGGAUAAUAUUUUGAACCGCAUGGUUCAAAAGUGAAAGACGGUCUUGCUGUCACUUAUAGAUGGAUCCGCGCUGCAUUAGCUAGUUGGUAAGGUAACGGCUUACCAAGGCAACGAUGCAUAGCCGACCUGAGAGGGUGAUCGGCCACACUGGAACUGAGACACGGUCCAGACUCCUACGGGAGGCAGCAGUAGGGAAUCUUCCGCAAUGGGCGAAAGCCUGACGGAGCAACGCCGCGUGAGUGAUGAAGGUCUUCGGAUCGUAAAACUCUGUUAUUAGGGAAGAACAUAUGUGUAAGUAACUGUGCACAUCUUGGCGGUACCUAAUCAGAAAGCCACGGCUAACUACGUG